RNAcentral lists this long non-coding RNA (205 nucleotides) under Lathyrus oleraceus (garden pea). RNAcentral describes it as "Pisum sativum (pea) long non-coding RNA (PSAT_LNC025249)". Lineage: Eukaryota; Viridiplantae; Streptophyta; Magnoliopsida; Fabales; Fabaceae. The record is from RNAcentral.
UUUCUUUAAAAAUUUGUAGUAAUUUUAUUUUUUAUCCAAAAAAUCCCAAAAUAAUUUCUAAAAGUCUCUCUUAUUUUUCCUCAUUUGAUUUUUAUUUUUUCACAUUUUAUUUCAUUGAUUUUCUAUUUUUCAUGAUUUUUCUCUUUUCUCCUUUGUUUUAAUUGGUUUCAAAAUACUUUCUUGCAUAUUUUAAUUUUGACAAUUU